Molecule: ribosomal RNA, 435 nt
Filed under: uncultured bacterium
Lineage: Bacteria
Description: partial 16S ribosomal RNA
Rfam family: Bacterial small subunit ribosomal RNA
Source: RNAcentral
AGCGAACGCUGGCGGCAGGCUUAACACAUGCAAGUCGAGCGGGCAUAGCAAUAUGUCGGCGGCAGACGGGUGAGUAACGCGUGGGAACGUACCUUUUGGUUCGGAACAACACAGGGAAACUUGUUCUAAUACCGGAUAAGCACUCACGGGGAAAGAUUUAUCGCCGAAAGAUCGGCCCGUGUCUGAUUAGCUGGUUGGUGAGGUAAUGGCAUACCAAGGUGACGUUUAGUAGCUGGGCUGAGCGGAUGACCAACCAGAAUGGGACUGAGACACGGACCAAUCUCCUACGCAGGGGAGCAGAGUAGAAUAUUAGGCAAUGGACGCUAGCGUGGUCCAGCCAUGCCGCGUAAGUGGUGAAGGCCGUAGGAUUGUAAAGCUGUUUUGUGCGGAAAGAUAAUGACGGUACCGCAAGAAUAAGCCCCGGCUAACUUCGUG